This 31-nucleotide non-coding RNA is filed under the name Homo sapiens (human). The record is from RNAcentral. Lineage: Eukaryota; Metazoa; Chordata; Mammalia; Primates; Hominidae.
UGUCAGGACCUGAUGAGGGCCAGGGAUGGUA